RNAcentral lists this ribosomal RNA (253 nucleotides) under uncultured bacterium. Its description in RNAcentral is "partial 16S ribosomal RNA". It matches the Rfam family "Bacterial small subunit ribosomal RNA", at positions 524 to 776 of the family's 1533-position model. The record is from RNAcentral.
GACGUAGGGUGCGAGCGUUGUCCGGAAUUAUUGGGCGUAAAGAGCUCGUAGGCGGUGUGUCGCGUCGGCCGUGAAAACCUGGGGCUUAACUCCGGGCCUGCAGUCGAUACGGGCAGACUAGAGUUCGGUAGGGGAGACUGGAAUUCCUGGUGUAGCGGUGAAAUGCGCAGAUAUCAGGAGGAACACCAGUGGCGAAGGCGACUACCUGGCCUGUUCUUGACGCUGAGGCGCGAAAGCUAGGGGAGCAAACGGG